RNAcentral lists this ribosomal RNA (424 nucleotides) under uncultured Haemophilus sp. RNAcentral's name for it is "bacterial SSU rRNA". It matches the Rfam family "Bacterial small subunit ribosomal RNA", at positions 338 to 759 of the family's 1533-position model. Lineage: Bacteria; Pseudomonadati; Pseudomonadota; Gammaproteobacteria; Pasteurellales; Pasteurellaceae. The record is from RNAcentral.
CCUACGGGAGGCAGCAGUGAGGAAUAUUGGUCAAUGGGCGAGAGCCUGAACCAGCCAAGUAGCGUGAAGGAUGACUGCCCUAUGGGUUGUAAACUUCUUUUAUAAAGGAAUAAAGUCGGGUAUGCAUACCCGUUUGCAUGUACUUUAUGAAUAAGGAUCGGCUAACUCCGUGCCAGCAGCCGCGGUAAUACGGAGGAUCCGAGCGUUAUCCGGAUUUAUUGGGUUUAAAGGGUGCGUAGGUGGUGAUUUAAGUCAGCGGUGAAAGUUUGUGGCUCAACCAUAAAAUUGCCGUUGAAACUGGGUUACUUGAGUGUGUUUGAGGUAGGCGGAAUGCGUGGUGUAGCGGUGAAAUGCAUAGAUAUCACGCAGAACUCCGAUUGCGAAGGCAGCCUGCUAAGCUGCAACUGACAUUGAGGCUCGAAAG